This 468-nucleotide ribosomal RNA is filed under the name uncultured bacterium. RNAcentral's name for it is "partial 16S ribosomal RNA". It matches the Rfam family "Bacterial small subunit ribosomal RNA", at positions 28 to 523 of the family's 1533-position model. The record is from RNAcentral.
GAUGAACGCUGGCGGCGUGCCUAACACAUGCAAGUCGAGCGAUUCUCUUCGGAGAAGAGCGGCGGACGGGUGAGUAACGCGUGGGUAACCUGCCCUGUACACACGGAUAACAUACCGAAAGGUAUGCUAAUACGGGACAAUAUGCUUUAGUCGCAUGGCUGAAGUAUCAAAGCUCCGGCGGUACAGGAUGGACCCGCGUCUGAUUAGCUAGUUGGUAAGGUAAUGGCUUACCAAGGCGACGAUCAGUAGCCGACCUGAGAGGGUGAUCGGCCACAUUGGAACUGAGACACGGUCCAAACUCCUACGGGAGGCAGCAGUGGGGAAUAUUGCACAAUGGGCGAAAGCCUGAUGCAGCAACGCCGCGUGAGCGAUGAAGGCCUUCGGGUCGUAAAGCUCUGUCCUCAAGGAAGAUAAUGACGGUACUUGAGGAGGAAGCCCCGGCUAACUACGUGCCAGCCGCCGCCGUAA